UACGUAGGGUGCGAGCGUUGUCCGGAAUUAUUGGGCGUAAAGGGCGCGUAGGCGGCUUGGCAAGUGGAUGGUGAAAUCCCUCGGCUUAACCGAGGAACUGCCGUCCAAACUGCUUUGCUUGAGGCCGGGAGAGGCGAGUGGAAUUCCCAGUGUAGCGGUGAAAUGCGUAGAUAUUGGGAGGAACACCAGUGGCGAAGGCGGCUCGCUGGACCGGUUCUGACGCUGAUGCGCGAAAGCGUGGGGAGCAAACGGG
RNAcentral lists this ribosomal RNA (253 nucleotides) under uncultured bacterium. RNAcentral describes it as "partial 16S ribosomal RNA". It matches the Rfam family "Bacterial small subunit ribosomal RNA", at positions 524 to 776 of the family's 1533-position model. The record is from RNAcentral.